UCGCCUGUUUAUCAAAAACAUAGCUACAUGAAUUUAAUAUGUAGUGGUUUCUGCUCAAUGAUUAGUUAAAUAGCCGCAGUACCCUGACUGUGCAAAGGUAGCAUAAUCAGUUGGCUCAUAAUUGGAGUCUGGAAUGAAGGAAAGAUUAAGUAGUGACUGUUUCUUAAUAAUAUCUAUAAAUUAAUUAUAAAGUGCAAAUGCUUUAAAAUAAACAUUAGACGAGAAGACCCUAGAAAUUUUUUGUAAACUAGAAACAUUUUGUUGGGGCGACAGGGUAACAGUUAGUUAACUUACUUGUUAUAUGUGAAGUCUUUAGACGGAUAAGGUAAAUUACUCUAGGGAUAACAGCAUAAUUUUUGAAAGUUUGUGACCUCGAUGUUGGAUUAGGAAAAUAUAAAGUCCAGAAGAUAUAUAU
Molecule: ribosomal RNA, 415 nt
Filed under: Ashmunella auriculata
Lineage: Eukaryota; Metazoa; Mollusca; Gastropoda; Stylommatophora; Polygyridae
Description: partial 16S ribosomal RNA
Rfam family: Archaeal large subunit ribosomal RNA
Source: RNAcentral